UGAAAAUGGUACUCCUUCUACACUCUCUUC
Molecule: non-coding RNA, 30 nt
Filed under: Rattus norvegicus (Norway rat)
Lineage: Eukaryota; Metazoa; Chordata; Mammalia; Rodentia; Muridae
Source: RNAcentral